AACGAACGCUGGCGGCAUGCCUAACACAUGCAAGUCGAACGAGACCUUCGGGUCUAGUGGCGCACGGGUGCGUAACGCGUGGGAACCUGCCCUUAGGUUCGGAAUAACUCCCCGAAAGGGGUGCUAAUACCGGAUAAUGUCUUCGGACCAAAGAUUUAUCGCCUUUGGAUGGGCCCGCGUUGGAUUAGCUAGUUGGUAGGGUAAAAGCCUACCAAGGCGACGAUCCAUAGCUGGUCUGAGAGGAUGAUCAGCCACACUGGGACUGAGACACGGCCCAGACCGCUGCGGGGAGGAGGAGGGGGGAAUUAGGGAAGAAGGGGGAAAGGCUGAACCGACCAUGGGCGGGGGAGGGGGGAGGCCUUGGGGGUGGAAAAGCUUUUUUCCCGGGGAGGAAAAGGACGGUACGGGGAAAAAAGGCCCGGGCAAACCCGGUG
Molecule: ribosomal RNA, 434 nt
Filed under: uncultured bacterium
Lineage: Bacteria
Description: partial 16S ribosomal RNA
Rfam family: Bacterial small subunit ribosomal RNA
Source: RNAcentral